UCGCCACCGCCUGCUCCCCAGCGACCACCGCCACUCUCGCCGCCGUCCAGCGCGGGUCGCUGCCCCACCACCUCGCGCCGCCGCCGGCCAGCACCAAACCCCUCUCGUGUGCCUACAUGAGAUAGAGAGGAGGGUGUGAGAUAGAGAACAGGGGCAAUAUAGUCUAUUCAUAAUUAAAGUUUAUUUUUUUAUUUUAUUUACUCUAAACCCUAACGGUAUAAAUUAACGAUGGUCAGACAACUGCUUCGUCUUCGUCUUAAAAAAGAAUGGUCAAAUCUGCAAAACUGGAAAAGAAGGUCAGUUUCAUAUUUAACCUUCAAAGUAAGGUUAAAUAAUUAUGUUGUAUAGUGUGCUUUUUAAGGGAAGAGAUGUAAUUUAUACUCGCGAUGAAUCGUUCAAAUACUAAAAACGAUUAAGAUUAUAUGAAAAGAUAUAAUUUACAUUCUUGAUGUAUUAUCCUAAGACUAAAAACAAUUGAGAUGAUGUGACUUCAUGAGAGCAUUAACUACACUUAGCGAGCAUAAAUUUUAUAUAAACAAGGGAUCAGUAUUGUAGAGGAUCGUUCGAUGAGUGUCAUUCGUGUAAGUGUACGUUCUUUUUUUUUCCCAUGUAAUUGAAGGAACUGGUGAUGCACAGCAUUGUAUGCAUCUAACAAAAUCAGUGACGUCCUUGCAGGAAGCAAAGUGGAAAUGAAAUUUUGAUAGGACAAAGGGGACAGGCAAGCAUGGCAUUGUCUAAAGUGUUAAGCGAAGCGAACACAAGUACGCAGCACAUUCAUCGGUUUUGCAUCCACGCCGGAACACCAUGGUUAAUAAUCGCCAUGAUUAUGUCAUGAGGAAAAUAAAAUCAUGUCCAUCCUCUAUCAGAUGCAGCUUCACUUGACUUGUACAAUACCCCAAACAAGCGUAGGCCUCUUUUGCCAUCCUAGCCUGAAAAAACCUGCAAGCUAGGACCAGAUUCCAUCAUCAUACAUGAAUCAUGGCAUUGCUUAGCGGGCAAACCAAGACAAACUCGAGUUCUCGAAAGGAUUUUGGCAGAGAA
RNAcentral lists this long non-coding RNA (1041 nucleotides) under Oryza brachyantha (malo sina). RNAcentral describes it as "long non-coding RNA (OBRA_LNC000294)". Lineage: Eukaryota; Viridiplantae; Streptophyta; Magnoliopsida; Poales; Poaceae. The record is from RNAcentral.